CCUACGGGAGGCAGCAGUGGGGAAUCUGGGACAAUGGGCGCAAGCCUGAUCCAGCCAUGCCGCCUGAGUGAUGAAAGGCCCUAGGGUCGUAAAGCUCUUUCGCCAGGGAUGAUAAUGACAGUACCUGGUAAAGAAACCCCGGCUAACUCCGUCCCAGCAGCCCCGGUAAUACGGAGGGGGUUAGCGUUGUUGGGAAUUACUGGGCGUAAAGCGCACGUAGGCGGAUCGGAAAGUUGGGGGUGAAAUCCCGGGGCUCAACCCCGGAACUGCCUCCAAAACUAUCGGUCUAGAGUUCGAGAGAGGAGAGUGGAAUUCCGAGUGUAGAGGUGAAAUUCGUAGAUAUUCGGAGGAACACCAGUGGCGAAGGCGGCUCACUGGCUCGAUACUGACGCUGAGGUGGGAAAGUGUGGGGAGCAAACAGGAUUAGAUACCCUGGUAGUCCACACCGUAAACGAUGAAUGCCAGUCGUCGGGUAGCAUGCUAUUCGGUGACACACCUAACGGAUUAAGCUUUCCGCCUGGGGAGUACGGUCGCAAGAUUAAAACUCAAAGGAAUGACGGGGAAUCGAAUUCCCCGCGGCCGCCAUGCCGCCCGGGAGCCCUGGAACUCCGCCG
RNAcentral lists this ribosomal RNA (614 nucleotides) under uncultured bacterium. RNAcentral describes it as "bacterial SSU rRNA". It matches the Rfam family "Bacterial small subunit ribosomal RNA", at positions 338 to 1417 of the family's 1533-position model. The record is from RNAcentral.